Molecule: ribosomal RNA, 519 nt
Filed under: uncultured eukaryote
Lineage: Eukaryota
Description: bacterial SSU rRNA
Rfam family: Eukaryotic small subunit ribosomal RNA
Source: RNAcentral
GGCACCACCAGGAGUGGAGCCUGCGGCUUAAUUUGACUCAACACAAGGAAAACUCACCCGGCCCGGACAACCUGAGGAUUGACAGACUGACUAGCUCUUUCUUGAUUCGCUUGGUGGUGGUGCAUGGCCGGUUGUAGUUGGUGGAAAAUUUUGUUUGGCUAAUUACUACACCCAACAUGACUCUCGCAAACUAAAAGGGCGGCCCCUGGGGUGUGCGCCCGGGCAGCUAGCUUCUUAGAUUGAGUUGCGCUCACUAAGCGCUUUCCAAUAGAGAAACCUGUGUCUGUGAUGCCCUUAGAUGUCCGGGGCCGCACGCGGGAGAGGCUGAAGUGAUCAACACGCUACCUAGCCCGCUCCGAGAGGAGCGGGUGUGCGUUUGAACCCCCUUCUUGAUCGGGAUUGAUCUGUGCAACUAUUGGUCGUGAUCCAGGAAUUCCCAGAAUGCGUGAAUAAUUACCUUAAGACCAUGACAUCCCUGCGCCAUGUACACGCCGCCAGUCGCUACUACCGAUUGAAUGG